AUGGCCGGGCAAGCCCAUCCUGCCCACGCUGCUCUCCAUGGAAUAGCGGUCCCAGCAGAUCUCCUCUCCCCCGCGGUCCACUCCCCCAACGAGCUGCUCUCCAUGGAACACCGAGGUCGCGGUCUCCUACUCGGCGAGAUCCAUGGUUGGCGUCCUCCUCUGCUGCUGAGCCCACCUCCCGCAUCUCUGAUCGAGGCUCUGCUCGAUUCGGUGCUUCGUUGUGUCCAUGGGGGUUUCAGCUGGGCCUCUGGAGUAAGUGAUGGAUUUAAAGAUGAGUUAUCCACCGGCAAGCCCCUACUGAAAUUUGCCUCCUCUCCAUCGAUCCCUGUUGGUCAAAGGAGGCAAGAAACUGAUUGGAGGAGGCCGGUGCGCAUGCAGGCGGUGGACAACCUGACGCUGGUCGGUUCCUGCGCGCGCGCGACCACGACGUGGACAAGGCCUCCGCCAUGUUCCUCAAGUUCCUCAAGUGGCGGAGGGAGGCGGCGCCCGGCGGCUCCGUGCCGGAGGAGCAGGUGAGGAGGGAGCUGUCGCAGGACAAGCUGUGCAUGGGCGGCGGCGACAGGGCCGGCCGCCCCAUCCUCGUCGCCUUUGCGGCCAGGCACUUCUCCGUCGGCCGUGACAUGGCAGAGUUCAAGAGUUUUGUUGUCUACUUCUUCGACAAGAUCUGUGCCAGAAUCCCCAGAGGGCAGGAGAAAUUCCUCUGCAUCGUUGAUCUCAAGGGCUGGGGGUACUCAAACUGUGACGUCCGGGCAUACAUUGCCGCUAUAGAGAUCUUGCAGUAUUUCUACAGGUUAACAAGGUACAUACAAAGAAGGCGGCUGCUCCCAAGAUUGCUAAACAAGAGUCCAGUGAUGAUGACACUAGCGACGAGACCUUUGAAUCUGAUGAGUUGCAAAAAAUGGUUCGAAGACGGUCAAGCAAGAGAGCAGCAGCGAUGAGGACAGUUCUGAAGAUGAGUCGGAUGACGACAGUGAUGAUGUGAGUUGAAGUUUCCUCGGCGUCCCUGCAUCGCUUCCACCAGCCCUCCCCACACGCGGCGACAGGGUCGUCGUCGUCCCGGCUCCGCGUCGGCCACACCCGAACGAUCGUCUCCAUGUCGUGCCGUCUCCAGUUAUGCGAGCGAGGCUGGAUAAGGUCGUGGGGUUCCAACAAGGUGGUGCAGCUCCAUUCGUCCCUCCACCUCACCCGCCGGCCAUCUCUCGAUUCCUUUUUGUGUGCUCAGUUUUUUCUUUGUGUGUCAUGAGUUUCAGAACUUGAUUGGGAUGGUUUUUGUGCCAUGAGAAUUAGGGUUUGAUAGGGAUGAUUUGGGUAUCAGUUCUUACGGUCACUGGAAUUUGCAUAUUGUCAUAGUCUAAUGCCAUUAAAUUUUGAGGGUAGCGAUAUUGUUUUCAACCUAUUGAAUAGGGUAUAUGAUGAUGUUGGCAAGCGCUGGAGCAGGUAAUAUUUUGU
RNA transcript from Zea mays, 1449 nucleotides. RefSeq lists it as uncharacterized. The record is from RefSeq and is a predicted model, not a curated record. Lineage: Eukaryota; Viridiplantae; Streptophyta; Magnoliopsida; Poales; Poaceae. The transcript has 6 exons.